This 1476-nucleotide ribosomal RNA is filed under the name Lacticaseibacillus rhamnosus. RNAcentral describes it as "bacterial SSU rRNA". It matches the Rfam family "Bacterial small subunit ribosomal RNA". Lineage: Bacteria; Bacillati; Bacillota; Bacilli; Lactobacillales; Lactobacillaceae. The record is from RNAcentral.
CCGGGGGGGGGGGGCCUAUACAUGCAAGUCGAACGAGUUCUGAUUAUUGAAAGGUGCUUGCAUCUUGAUUUAAUUUUGAACGAGUGGCGGACGGGUGAGUAACACGUGGGUAACCUGCCCUUAAGUGGGGGAUAACAUUUGGAAACAGAUGCUAAUACCGCAUAAAUCCAAGAACCGCAUGGUUCUUGGCUGAAAGAUGGCGUAAGCUAUCGCUUUUGGAUGGACCCGCGGCGUAUUAGCUAGUUGGUGAGGUAACGGCUCACCAAGGCAAUGAUACGUAGCCGAACUGAGAGGUUGAUCGGCCACAUUGGGACUGAGACACGGCCCAAACUCCUACGGGAGGCAGCAGUAGGGAAUCUUCCACAAUGGACGCAAGUCUGAUGGAGCAACGCCGCGUGAGUGAAGAAGGCUUUCGGGUCGUAAAACUCUGUUGUUGGAGAAGAAUGGUCGGCAGAGUAACUGUUGUCGGCGUGACGGUAUCCAACCAGAAAGCCACGGCUAACUACGUGCCAGCAGCCGCGGUAAUACGUAGGUGGCAAGCGUUAUCCGGAUUUAUUGGGCGUAAAGCGAGCGCAGGCGGUUUUUUAAGUCUGAUGUGAAAGCCCUCGGCUUAACCGAGGAAGUGCAUCGGAAACUGGGAAACUUGAGUGCAGAAGAGGACAGUGGAACUCCAUGUGUAGCGGUGAAAUGCGUAGAUAUAUGGAAGAACACCAGUGGCGAAGGCGGCUGUCUGGUCUGUAACUGACGCUGAGGCUCGAAAGCAUGGGUAGCGAACAGGAUUAGAUACCCUGGUAGUCCAUGCCGUAAACGAUGAAUGCUAGGUGUUGGAGGGUUUCCGCCCUUCAGUGCCGCAGCUAACGCAUUAAGCAUUCCGCCUGGGGAGUACGACCGCAAGGUUGAAACUCAAAGGAAUUGACGGGGGCCCGCACAAGCGGUGGAGCAUGUGGUUUAAUUCGAAGCAACGCGAAGAACCUUACCAGGUCUUGACAUCUUUUGAUCACCUGAGAGAUCAGGUUUCCCCUUCGGGGGCAAAAUGACAGGUGGUGCAUGGUUGUCGUCAGCUCGUGUCGUGAGAUGUUGGGUUAAGUCCCGCAACGAGCGCAACCCUUAUGACUAGUUGCCAGCAUUUAGUUGGGCACUCUAGUAAGACUGCCGGUGACAAACCGGAGGAAGGUGGGGAUGACGUCAAAUCAUCAUGCCCCUUAUGACCUGGGCUACACACGUGCUACAAUGGAUGGUACAACGAGUUGCGAGACCGCGAGGUCAAGCUAAUCUCUUAAAGCCAUUCUCAGUUCGGACUGUAGGCUGCAACUCGCCUACACGAAGUCGGAAUCGCUAGUAAUCGCGGAUCAGCACGCCGCGGUGAAUACGUUCCCGGGCCUUGUACACACCGCCCGUCACACCAUGAGAGUUUGUAACACCCGAAGCCGGUGGCGUAACCCUUUUAGGGAGCGAGCCGUCUAAGGUGACAAAAUG